AUUGAACGCUGGCGGCAGGCCUAACACAUUCAAGUAGAACGCGUGGCGGACGGGUGAGUAAUGUCUGGGAAACUGCCUGAUGGAGGGGGAUAACUACUGGAAACGGUAGCUAAUACCGCAUACCAUCGGAUGUGCACAGAUGGGAUUAGCUAGUAGGUGGGGUAAAGGCUCACCUAGGCGACGAUCCCUAGCUGGUCUGAGAGGAUGACUAGCCACACUGUAACUGAUACACUGUCCAGACUCCUCCGGUAGGCAGCAGUGGGGCAUAUUGCACAAUGGGCGCAAGCCUGAUGCAGCCAUGCCGCGUGUAUGAAGAAGGCCUUCGGGUUGUAAAGUACUUUCAGCGGGGAGGCGUUACCCGCAGAAGAAGCACCGGCUAACUCCGUGCCAGCAGCCGCGGUAAUAG
RNAcentral lists this ribosomal RNA (406 nucleotides) under uncultured bacterium. RNAcentral describes it as "partial 16S ribosomal RNA". It matches the Rfam family "Bacterial small subunit ribosomal RNA", at positions 30 to 526 of the family's 1533-position model. The record is from RNAcentral.